UGAUAAGUAGCGCCGGCUGCUCGUCUGUAUAAGUGUGAAUCGACAAUUCCUAGGCCUUAGAUGGAAUUGCUGAUUGACACUUUUUUAU
Molecule: non-coding RNA, 88 nt
Filed under: unclassified sequences
Source: RNAcentral